Molecule: transfer RNA, 70 nt
Filed under: Aramus guarauna (limpkin)
Lineage: Eukaryota; Metazoa; Chordata; Aves; Gruiformes; Aramidae
Description: tRNA-Glu
Source: RNAcentral
GUUUCUGUAGUUGAAAUAACAACGGCGAUUUUUCGGGUCGCAAGUUUUGGAGAAAAGCCAAGCAGAAAUU